Molecule: long non-coding RNA, 561 nt
Filed under: Equus asinus (donkey)
Lineage: Eukaryota; Metazoa; Chordata; Mammalia; Perissodactyla; Equidae
Description: lncRNA (ENSEASG00005034064.1)
Source: RNAcentral
CGCCUGCGCGCGCCUCCGCCGUGGAAGCACGCGCUCGGAUGCCGGAGGCGCCCAUUGUCCCGCCGGGGACCGCGCUCGAGUGGACAAUAGCGCAUCACGCCAAGAUUUCUAUCAUCCGCUAUUCCUGAGUGCUGCCAUUUGUGAUUUGAGAGCUCUAAGAUGGUCCUCCAAGUAGCUUCAGUCAAGUAUCCACACUGCUGAGGCGAGAACUCUAUGCAUAUUUGGAAGUACCUGUUCCGGUAUCACAAAUGCAAUUACUGCACAAAGGAAGAAAAAGAAAAAAAUAAAUAAAGGUGAAAGACAGACUUUUUCAGUAAAACAAAUACAAAAAAUUUGUGACCAGCAAAACUGCAGGAACGUUCAAGAAAGCUCUUCCGGCAGAAGGAAAAUCAUAACAGACGAAAAUUUUAAUCCACACAAAGGAAUAAAGAACACCAGAAAUGGUAAAUAGGUGCAUUUCAGUGCAAUUUAGACAAACUACAAAGAAAACAAAUCAGGCUUCUUCAUGGAAUUAUCUGAAAGUCAAAAAUACUUAAAGUUUAAAAUAGAUGAUUGAGGAAC